UCGGCAUCAAUAUGGUGACCUCCUGGGAGCGGGGAGCCACCGGGUUGCCUAAGGAGAGGUGAACCGGCCCAGGUCGGAAACGGAGCAGGUCAAAACUCCCGUGCUGG
Molecule: small RNA, 107 nt
Filed under: Cricetulus griseus (Chinese hamster)
Lineage: Eukaryota; Metazoa; Chordata; Mammalia; Rodentia; Cricetidae
Description: Metazoan signal recognition particle RNA (ENSCGRG00015029001.1)
Rfam family: Metazoan signal recognition particle RNA
About the family: The signal recognition particle (SRP) is a universally conserved ribonucleoprotein. It is involved in the co-translational targeting of proteins to membranes.
Source: RNAcentral